GGGGAAUAUUGCACAAUGGGCGAAAGCCUGAUGCAGCAACGCCGCGUGAGUGAUGAAGGUCUUCGGAUUGUAAAGCUCUGUCUUUUGGGACGAUAAUGACGGUACCAAAGGAGGAAGCCACGGCUAACUACGUGCCAGCAGCCGCGGUAAUACGUAGGUGGCGAGCGUUGUCCGGAUUUACUGGGCGUAAAGGGUGCGUAGGCGGAUGUUUAAGUGAGAUGUGAAAUACCCGGGCUUAACUUGGGUGCUGCAUUUCAAACUGGAUAUCUAGAGUGCAGGAGAGGAGAAUGGAAUUCCUAGUGUAGCGGUGAAAUGCGUAGAGAUUAGGAAGAACACCAGUGGCGAAGGCGAUUCUCUGGACUGUAACUGACGCUGAGGCACGAAAAGCGUGGGUAGCAAACAGGAUUAGAUACCCUGGUAGUCCACGCCGUAAAACGAUGAGUACUAGGUGUAGGAGGUAUCGACCCCUUCUGUGCCGCAGUAAAACACAUUAAAGUACUCCGCCU
RNAcentral lists this ribosomal RNA (506 nucleotides) under uncultured bacterium. Its description in RNAcentral is "partial 16S ribosomal RNA". It matches the Rfam family "Bacterial small subunit ribosomal RNA", at positions 356 to 874 of the family's 1533-position model. The record is from RNAcentral.